AGAGUUGAUUAUGGCUCAGGAUGAACGCUAGCGACAGGCUAACACAUGCAAGUCGAGGGGCAGCAUAAAAGUAGCAAUACUUGGUGGCGACCGGCGCACGGGUGAGUAACGCGUAUGCAACCUACCUAUCAGAGGGGAAUAACCCGGCGAAAGCCGGACUAAUACCGCAUAAAACAGGGGCACCGCAUGGUGAUAUUUGUUGAAGAAAUUCGCUGAUAGAUGGGCAUGCGUUCCAUUAGGUAGUUGGUGAGGUAACGGCUCACCAAGCCGACGAUGGAUAGGGAACUGAGAGGUUGGUCCCCCACACUGGUACUGAGACACGGACCAGACUCCUACGGGAGGCAGCAGUGAGGAAUAUUGGUCAAUGGGCGGGAGCCUGAACCAGCCAAGUCGCGUGAAGGAAGAAGGAUCUAUGGUUCGUAAACUUCUUUUGCAGGGGAAUAAAGUGCAGGACGUGUCCUGUUUUGUAUGUACCCUGAGAAUAAGGAUCGGCUAACUCCGUGCCAGCCGCCGC
RNAcentral lists this ribosomal RNA (514 nucleotides) under uncultured bacterium. RNAcentral describes it as "bacterial SSU rRNA". It matches the Rfam family "Bacterial small subunit ribosomal RNA", at positions 8 to 518 of the family's 1533-position model. The record is from RNAcentral.